Perca flavescens (yellow perch) is the source of this 363-nucleotide long non-coding RNA. RefSeq lists it as uncharacterized. The record is from RefSeq and is a predicted model, not a curated record. The transcript has 2 exons. Lineage: Eukaryota; Metazoa; Chordata; Actinopteri; Perciformes; Percidae.
UAGAAGUUCUUACCAUACUUUAACUGUCACUAGCUUUGUUCAUUGUCAUGGUGAUAUUUGUUUGAAUGUGUACAUACAGUUUUAUUGUGUACGGCACUUUUUGUGUGAGAUGCUAGCUCACUUCUCUCAGGCUAGCUUAAUGAAGAGCACACGUGUGGAUUCUUAUGCGCUGGUUCUUUUCUCCCUCUCAUUUAAAGGUGUGCUAUGUGCGUGUAGGAACCCAGAGCUGCUGUACUGAUUUAAUUGUGUGUUGUACACAGGUAUGCAAAAUAAAACCCCCGUUCAACUGGCAAAGCAGAAGAUGUCUGUCGUCCAUUACUACGCAUACUGAAAUUGAGGGAGUGUCAGGCCAGACCGGCUACA